Molecule: ribosomal RNA, 498 nt
Filed under: uncultured bacterium
Lineage: Bacteria
Description: partial 16S ribosomal RNA
Rfam family: Bacterial small subunit ribosomal RNA
Source: RNAcentral
AUUGAACGCUGGCGGCAUGCCUUACACAUGCAAGUCGAACGGUAACAGGUCUUCGGAUGCUGACGUGUGGCGAACGGGUGAGUAAUACAUCGGAACGUGCCUAGUAGUGGGGGAUAACUACUCGAAAGAGUGGCUAAUACCGCAUGAGAUCUACGGAUGAAAGCAGGGGAUCGCAAGACCUUGCGCUACUAGAGCGGCCGAUGGCAGAUUAGGUAGUUGGUGGGAUAAAAGCUGACCAAGCCGACGAUCUGUAGCUGGUCUGAGAGGACGAUCAGCCACACUGGGACUGAGACACGGCCCAGACUCCUACGGGAGGCAGCAGUGGGGAAUUUUGGACAGCGGGCGCAAGCCUGAUCCAGCAAUGCCGCGUGCAGGAUGAAGGCCUUCGGGUUGUAAACUGCUUUUGUACGGAACGAAAAGCCCUGGGUUAAUACCCUGGGGUCAUGAUGGUACCGUAAGAAUAAGCACCGGCUAACUACGUGCCAGCAGCCGCAGUAA